GGAGGGGCGAGCGUUAUUCGGAAUUAUUGGGCGUAAAGGGCGCGUAGGCGGCCCGCUAAGUCAAAGGUGAAAUCCCUCGGCUCAACUGAGGAACUGCCUUCGAAACUGUCGGGCUCGAGGCCGGGAGGGGGUAGCGGAAUUCCCAGUGUAGCGGUGAAAUGCGUAGAUAUUGGGAGGAACACCGGUGGCGAAGGCGGCUACCUGGACCGGAUCUGACGCUGAUGCGCGAAAGCGUGGGUAGCAAACAGGAUUAGAUACCCUGGUAGUCCACGCUGUAAACGAUGGGUGCUCGGUGUCGCGGGUAUCGACCCCUGCGGUGCCUUAGCUAACGCGUUAAGCACCCCGCCUGGGGAGUACGGUCGCAAGGCUG
RNAcentral lists this ribosomal RNA (370 nucleotides) under uncultured organism. RNAcentral's name for it is "bacterial SSU rRNA". It matches the Rfam family "Bacterial small subunit ribosomal RNA", at positions 528 to 896 of the family's 1533-position model. The record is from RNAcentral.